Molecule: ribosomal RNA, 253 nt
Filed under: uncultured bacterium
Lineage: Bacteria
Description: partial 16S ribosomal RNA
Rfam family: Bacterial small subunit ribosomal RNA
Source: RNAcentral
UACAGAGGGCCCAAGCGUUGUUCGGAUUCAUUGGGCGUAAAGGGUGCGUAGGUGGCGCUGUAAGUCGGGUGUGAAAUUUCGGAGCUUAACUCCGAAACUGCAUUCGAUACUGCGGUGCUUGAGGACUGGAGAGGAGACUGGAAUUUACGGUGUAGCGGUGAAAUGCGUAGAUAUCAGGAAGAACACCAAUGGCGAAGGCAGCUCUCUGGGACGGUACUGACGCUGAGACGCGAAAGCGUGGGGAGCGAACAGG